This 794-nucleotide ribosomal RNA is filed under the name uncultured bacterium. RNAcentral describes it as "bacterial SSU rRNA". It matches the Rfam family "Bacterial small subunit ribosomal RNA", at positions 8 to 796 of the family's 1533-position model. The record is from RNAcentral.
AGAGUUUGAUCCUGGCUCAGGAUGAACGCUAGCGGCAGGCUUAAUACAUGCAAGUCGUACGGGAUCCGAGAUAGCAAUAUCUUGGUGAGAGUGGCGCACGGGUGCGUAACACGUAUGCAACCUACCUAUAACCGGGACACAACCUCGAGAAAUUGUGGCUAAUAUCCCAUAACACUGCGAAGUGGCAUCAUUUUGCGGUUAAAACUCCGGUGGUUAUAGAUGGGCAUGCGCGACAUUAGCUAGUUGGUGAGGUAACGGCCCACCAAGGCUACGAUGUCUAGGGGUUCUGAGAGGAUUAUCCCCCACACUGGUACUGAGACACGGACCAGACUCCUACGGGAGGCAGCAGUAAGGAAUAUUGGUCAAUGGGCGCAAGCCUGAACCAGCCAUGCCGCGUGAAGGAUGACGGCCCUAUGGGUUGUAAACUUCUUUUGUACGGGAAAAAACCACCGGUCGUGUAUCGGUGCUGAUGGUACCGUAAGAAUAAGCAUCGGCUAACUCCGUGCCAGCAGCCGCGGUAAUACGGAGGAUGCAAGCGUUAUCCGGAUUCAUUGGGUUUAAAGGGUGCGCAGGCGGAAUAAUAAGUCAGCGGUGAAAGCCUACAGCUUAACUGUAGAACUGCCAUUGAUACUGUUAUUCUUGAGUGUUGUUGAGGUAGGCGGAAUGUGUCAUGUAGCGGUGAAAUGCUUAGAUAUGACACAGAACACCGAUCGCGAAGGCAGCUUACCAAGCAACAACUGACGCUCAUGCACGAAAGCGUGGGGAUCAAACAGGAUUAGAUACCCUGGUAGUCC